GACGAACGCUGGCGGCGUGCUUAACACAUGCAAGUCGAACGGAAAGGCCCUGCUUUUGUGGGGUGCUCGAGUGGCGAACGGGUGAGUAACACGUGAGUAACCUGCCCUUGACUUUGGGAUAACUUCAGGAAACUGGGGCUAAUACCGGAUAGGAGCUCCUGCUGCAUGGUGGGGGUUGGAAAGUUUCGGCGGUUGGGGAUGGACUCGCGGCUUAUCAGCUUGUUGGUGGGGUAGUGGCUUACCAAGGUUUUGAUGGGUAGCCGGCCUGAGAGGGUGACCGGCCACAUUGGGACUGAGAUACGGCCCAGACUCCUACGGGAGGCAGCAGUGGGGAAUAUUGCACAAUGGGCGGAAGCCUGAUGCAGCAACGCCGCGUGCGGGAUGACGGCCUUCGGGUUGUAAACCGCUUUCGCCUGUGACGAAGCGUGAGUGACGGUAAUGGGUAAAGAAGCACCGGCUAACUACGUG
RNAcentral lists this ribosomal RNA (468 nucleotides) under uncultured bacterium. RNAcentral describes it as "partial 16S ribosomal RNA". It matches the Rfam family "Bacterial small subunit ribosomal RNA", at positions 28 to 507 of the family's 1533-position model. The record is from RNAcentral.